UCCCCAGUGGCGCAAUUGGUUAGCGCGCGGUACUUAUAAUGCCGAGGUUGAGUUCGAUCCUCACCUGGGGAA
RNAcentral lists this transfer RNA (72 nucleotides) under Trichonephila inaurata madagascariensis. RNAcentral's name for it is "tRNA-Ile". It matches the Rfam family "tRNA". From Rfam's summary of the family: Transfer RNA (tRNA) molecules are approximately 80 nucleotides in length. Their secondary structure includes four short double-helical elements and three loops (D, anti-codon, and T loops). The record is from RNAcentral. Lineage: Eukaryota; Metazoa; Arthropoda; Arachnida; Araneae; Nephilidae.